ACCCUCGAACGGGCAAAAGAAAGAAAGAGGCAGGCAUUCCUCAGGCCUUAUCUCUCUGGUUCUUUCUGCUACAUUUGACACCUUGGGAUGACUCUCACCUUCUGGAAUCUCUCUACUACCUUGGUUUCAGAAGAGUGAACCCUCUGGAUUAUCACAUGAAGCUACUUCCUGUGAGCAGCCCAGGGAUGGCCAGUCACUUGUGACCUACUUUCAGAGCUGGCAGUUCUGACUUCUAGAACAAACUCGGAACAAGCCCAUCUACAGCUGGUUGACUGAGUUUCCUUUGGGCUCCUGGCACCAGAAAGAAUUGCUCACUGGAAGGAUCAUAGGUGGCACUCAUGUCUCACUGCCCCACUCAGGCGGAGUGCGGUGACUCUCGCCUAUAAUCCCAGAAUUUUGAGAGGCCAAGGUGGGCAGCUCACUUGAGCUCAGAUGUUCGAGACCAGCCUGGGCAACAUGGCAAAACCCCAUCUCUACAAAAAAUACAAAAAUUAGCCAGGCAUGGUGGUGUGCACCUGUAGUCCCAGAUACCUGGAGGCUGAGGUGGAAGGAUCACUUGAGCCUGGGAGGCAGAGGUUGCAGUGAGCCAAGAUCACAUCACUGCACUCCAGCCUGAGUGACAGUGAGACUCUGUCUCAAAAAAGGAAAAAAGAAAAGAAAUUAAAAUUAAAUAAAUUUUAAAAAUCUUU
Homo sapiens (human) is the source of this 689-nucleotide long non-coding RNA. Ensembl annotates it as ATP13A3 divergent transcript. Its record names the gene ATP13A3-DT. Lineage: Eukaryota; Metazoa; Chordata; Mammalia; Primates; Hominidae. The record is from Ensembl.